CCAGUGAUCAUGAAUCAUAAAUUCACAUAUUUAUGUUAACUGGACUACACGCUCUUUUGCUACGGCAAUUAAACUCUAAGUUUUAUUGUUAUAAAAUUCAACAACGACAUAUUUACAUUUGGAAAUAUCCUAGAAAUCUUUGAUUUCUUCGUACCUAAUGUUGUGAAGUUGUGGUGGUCUAUUAAAAGUAAAAGAGCUAUUGCAG
RNAcentral lists this non-coding RNA (205 nucleotides) under unclassified sequences. RNAcentral describes it as "RT-16 RNA". It matches the Rfam family "RT-16 RNA". From Rfam's summary of the family: candidate division DUSEL4 (Archaea). The record is from Rfam by way of RNAcentral.